Peromyscus maniculatus bairdii (prairie deer mouse) is the source of this 1330-nucleotide long non-coding RNA. RefSeq lists it as uncharacterized. The record is from RefSeq and is a predicted model, not a curated record. NCBI's taxonomy places the organism in Eukaryota, Metazoa, Chordata, Mammalia, Rodentia, Cricetidae.
GCCAGCCUCGCUGGACGUGAGCUUCCGGCCGCCGGGUCGGGUUGGCCGUGCCGCACCGCUGUACCUUUCUGGAAUGUGGGGCGACCUCCAGCUACCGAGAGCGGUCUCUUUGGUGAACGUGUUGCCCUAAGAGAAAAAAAAAUCUGUGCGCUCCCGGGGCCUGGCCCGAGCCAGACUCGCCCUUCUGGGAGCGAGCUGCCAGAUGGCAGGGACGGGAGACAAAGCUUACCCAGACGUGAACCCAGGGCUGCCUUUUUUAAAAGCGUCUGCCUGCGGUUUUCUGCCAGCCUAACUUGGCCCUUGGCUAAGGCAGGCGUCUACUCUCCCCUGGCCUCAACAUCAGGCAGCUGCGAGCCUUUCCACGUCCCUGGCCUGACGUGGCGCCUCCCUUAGACAUCACCAAGUGCUCCCAUUUCCACCCCAUUCUCACGCAGUGCUCAGAGCCACCAGGGCCUUCCUGGUGCCGUUCUGAUUCAGGCCUGUCCAUCACUAGGCAGUAUUACUUCUCACGAGUAUCGAGGCAUGUGAAUAUCUUUCCAGGACAGACAGGUUUCAAACGUUGAUGAGUUAUGGACAAAGCGAUUGUGAUUGACCAAAUAUCCUUAGGAUACUUUUAAAAGCUGGCAAGAUGGUUCAAAGGGUAAAAGUACUUGAUGCCCAACUAUGAGGACCUAGGUGAACCCCCAAACUCCACGUUUCUGUUACCUGUGUCUAUCCCAGAGCUCUGAAGACAAGACAGAAGAACCCUGGAAAGCUCCAGAAUCAACGAUCCUGGCAUAGGCACCUUAGAACAGUGAAGAAACCCUGUCUCAAACAAGCUUUGGAGACGGAGUUGUUUGCAGAGUGACCUCAGAUCUGCUCAGGAUUAGGAACUAGGAAGCAAACGGGUCACGAGAAUGACUUUUAAAUACUCGUCUGUGCUUCCCUGCUGCAGACCGACAGAGGCUCCGGGUUACGGCUUCCACAGAGAAAGCGAAGGUACAUACAAACAGUUGUGCCUUGUGGCUCAUGCUAUAGAAGGGAAAGGACCGCAGUCUAGGGGGGAAGAGAGACAAUAAACAAAACACACACGGGAAGAAUUCAAGUCUAUGUACAAAGUUAAAGGAUGGAGGAGGCAAUGGAGAUGAUCGGCAACACCAUGCACAAGGUCUUAGAUCCUGGAGUGUCUGUGAUGAAGCAAUCAAACAAAAAUCGCUUCAGGCCUAUACUAAAAGGCAUUUUACCUCAUCCUGAAGGCAAUGUGUUAUCAGAAAGGCCACUUCCUGGAGACAGCUGACUGGCUUUCAUGGUGGAGGACCGGAUGUGGUAUGCAGGUCUCCAGGGCAGUACU